AUACGGAGGGGGCUAGCGUUGUUCGGAAUUACUGGGCGUAAAGGGCGUGUAGGCGGUUCGAUCAGUCAGGCGUGAAAGCCCUGGGCUCAACCCAGGAACUGCGCUUGAUACUGUCAAACUUGAGUUCGGGAGAGGGUAGUGGAAUUCCCAGUGUAGAGGUGAAAUUCGUAGAUAUUGGGAAGAACACCAGUGGCGAAGGCGGCUCUCUGGUCCGUUUCUGACGCUGAGGUGCGAAAGCCAGGGUAGCGAACGGGAUUAGAAACCCCAGUAGUCC
This 274-nucleotide ribosomal RNA is filed under the name uncultured bacterium. Its description in RNAcentral is "partial 16S ribosomal RNA". It matches the Rfam family "Bacterial small subunit ribosomal RNA", at positions 523 to 796 of the family's 1533-position model. The record is from RNAcentral.